AUACAGGGGGUGCGAGCGUUAAUCGGAAUUACUGGGCGUAAAGAGUACGUAGGCGGUUGCUUAAGUCAGAUGUGAAAGCCCCGGGCUCAACCUGGGAACUGCAUUUGAAACUGAGUGACUAGAGUUUAAGAGAGGGGAGUAGAAUUCCGGGUGUAGCGGUGAAAUGCGUAGAGAUCCGGAGGAAUACCAGUGGCGAAGGCGGCUCCCUGGCUUAAAACUGACGCUGAGGUACGAAAGCGUGGGUAGCAAACAGGAUUAGAAACCCGAGUAGUCC
Molecule: ribosomal RNA, 274 nt
Filed under: uncultured bacterium
Lineage: Bacteria
Description: partial 16S ribosomal RNA
Rfam family: Bacterial small subunit ribosomal RNA
Source: RNAcentral